UGCCAGGAGUCAAAGUGGUGCAG
Molecule: unclassified non-coding RNA, 23 nt
Filed under: Mus musculus (house mouse)
Lineage: Eukaryota; Metazoa; Chordata; Mammalia; Rodentia; Muridae
Description: oocyte_clustered_small_RNA12628
Source: RNAcentral